This 484-nucleotide ribosomal RNA is filed under the name uncultured bacterium. RNAcentral describes it as "partial 16S ribosomal RNA". It matches the Rfam family "Bacterial small subunit ribosomal RNA", at positions 30 to 507 of the family's 1533-position model. The record is from RNAcentral.
AUUGAACGCUGGCGGCAGGCCUAACACAUGCAAGUCGAGCGGAUGAAGGGAGCUUGCUCCUGGAUUCAGCGGCGGACGGGUGAGUAAUGCCUAGGAAUCUGCCUGGUAGUGGGGGAUAACGUCCGGUAACGGGCGCUAAUACCGCAUACGUCCUGAGGGAGAAAGUGGGGGAUCUUCGGACCUCACGCUAUCAGAUGAGCCUAGGUCGGAUUAGCUAGUUGGUGGGGUAAAGGCCUACCAAGGCGACGAUCCGUAACUGGUCUGAGAGGCUGAUCAGUCACACUGGAACUGAGACACGGUCCAGACUCCUACGGGAGGCAGCAGUGGGGAAUAUUGGACAAUGGGCGAAAGCCUGAUCCAGCCAUGCCGCGUGUGUGAAGAAGGUCUUCGGAUUGUAAAGCACUUUAAGUUGGGAGGAAGGGCAGUAAGUUAAUACCUUGCUGUUUUGACGUUACCAACAGAAUAAGCACCGGCUAACUUCGUG